This 253-nucleotide ribosomal RNA is filed under the name uncultured bacterium. Its description in RNAcentral is "partial 16S ribosomal RNA". It matches the Rfam family "Bacterial small subunit ribosomal RNA", at positions 524 to 775 of the family's 1533-position model. The record is from RNAcentral.
UACGUAGGGUGCAAGCGUUAAUCGGAAUUACUGGGCGUAAAGCGUGCGCAGGCGGUUUUGUAAGUCUGUCGUGAAAUCCCCGGGCUCAACCUGGGAAUUGCGAUGGAGACUGCAAGGCUAGAAUCUGGCAGAGGGGGGUAGAAUUCCACGUGUGAGCAGUGAAAUGCGUAGAGAUGUGGAGGAACACCGAUGGCGAAGGCAGCCCCCUGGGUCAAGAUUGACGCUCAUGCACGAAAGCGUGGGGAGCAACAGG